GUUGAACGCUGGCGGCAGGCCUAACACAUGCAAGUCGAACGGAAAAAGGGAACUUUCUCCUGGAUUCAGCGUCGGGCGGGUGAGUAAUGCCUAGGAAUCUGCCUGGUAGCACGUGGUAACGUCCGGGAGCAGGCGCUACUACCGCAUACGUCCUGAGGGAGAAAGUGGGGGAUCUUCGGAGCUCACGCUUUCAGAUGAGCCUAGGUCGGAUUAGCUAGGUGGUGGGGUAAAGGCCUUCCCAGGCGACGAUCCGUAACUGGUCUGAGAGGAUGAUCAGUCACACGGGAACUGAGACACGGUCCAGACUACUACGGGAGGCAGCAGUGGGGAAUAGUGGACAAUGGGCGAAAGCCUGAUCCAGCCAUGGCGAGCGUGUGAAGAAGGUCCUCGGAUUGUAAAGCCCUUUUAGUGGGGAGGAAGGGCAGUAAGUUAAUACCUUGCUGUUGUGACGUUACCAAGAGAAGAAGCACCGGCUAACUACGUG
This 484-nucleotide ribosomal RNA is filed under the name uncultured bacterium. Its description in RNAcentral is "partial 16S ribosomal RNA". It matches the Rfam family "Bacterial small subunit ribosomal RNA", at positions 28 to 507 of the family's 1533-position model. The record is from RNAcentral.